This 1018-nucleotide ribosomal RNA is filed under the name uncultured Kocuria sp. Its description in RNAcentral is "bacterial SSU rRNA". It matches the Rfam family "Bacterial small subunit ribosomal RNA", at positions 375 to 1403 of the family's 1533-position model. Lineage: Bacteria; Bacillati; Actinomycetota; Actinomycetes; Micrococcales; Micrococcaceae. The record is from RNAcentral.
GCGGAAGCCUGAUGCAGCGACGCCGCGUGAGAAAUGACGGCCUUCGCGUUUUAAACCUCUUUCAGUAGGGAAGAAGCGAGAGUGACGGUACCUGCAGAAGAAGCGCCGCCUAACUACGUGCCAGCAGCCGCGUUAAUACGUAGGGCGCAAGCGUUGUCCGGAAUUAUUGGGCGUAAAGAGCUCGUAGGCGGUUCGUCGCGUCUGCUGUGAGAGCCCGGGGCUUAACGCCGGUUCUGCAGUGGGUACGGCCAGACUAAAGUGCAUUAGGGGAGACUGGAAUUCCUGGUGUAGCGGUGAAAUGCGCAGAUAUCAGGAGGAACACCGAUGGCGAAGGCAGGUCUCUGGGCUGUUACUGACGCUGAGGAGCGAAAGCAUGGGGAGCGAACAGGAUUAGAUACCCUGGUAGUCCAUGCCGUAAACGUUGGGCACUAGGUGUGGGGGACAUUCCACGUUUUCCGCGCCGUAGCUAACGCAUUAAGUGCCCCGCCUGGGGAGUACGGCCGCAAGGCUAAAACUCAAAGGAAUUGACGGGGGCCCGCACAAGCGGCGGAGCAUGCGGAUUAAUUCGAUGCAACGCGAAGAACCUUACCAAGGCUUGACAUUCACCGGACCGCACGAGAGAUAGUACUUCCCUUCGGGGCUGGUGGACAGGUGGUGCAUGGUUGUCGUCAGCUCGUGUCGUUAGAUGUUGGGUUAAGUCCCGCAACGAGCGCAACCCUCGGACUAUGUUGCCAGCACGUGAUGGUGGGGACUCAUAGGAGACUGCCGGGGUCAACUCGGAGGAAGGUGGGGAUGACGUCAAAUCAUCAUGCCCCUUAUGUCUUGGGCUUCACGCAUGCUACAAUGGCCGGUACAAAGGGUUGCGAUACUGUGAGGUGGAGCUAAUCCCAAAAAGCCGGUCUCAGUUCGGAUUGAGGUCUGCAACUCGACCUCAUGAAGUCGGAGUCGCUAGUAAUCGCAGAUCAGCAACGCUGCGGUGAAUACGUUCCCGGGCCUUGUACACACCGCCCGUCAAGUC